CUCAACAAGAAACAGAACGCCAAACAGGUUCGUUUUCCCAAUAAUGGCACUACUUGCAGGAAUACUGGGUGGAGUUUUUGGUAUUGGAGGUGGAAUGCUUAUCAGUCCACUUCUUCUUCAUGUAGGAAUACCACCAGAGGUAACUGCAGCAACUUGUUCCUUUAUGGUCUUCUUUUCAUCUACCAUGUCUUCGUUUCAGUACCUAUUAUUCGGAAUGGAGCACACAGACACCGCANNNNNNNNNNUUCGUUGCUUCACUCCUUGGAUUGCUGGUAGUACAAAGAACCAUACAAGAAUAUGGCAGGGCUUCUAUAAUUGUCUUCUCAGUUGGUAUUGUGAUGGCAUUGAGUACAAUUCUAAUAACCAGCUUUGGAGCUAUUGAUGUGUUGAGAGAUUAUAAAUCUGGCAACAACAUGGGCUUCAAACUCCCAAAAAAAAAGGAAAGAACUAAGUUUUUGAGUGGCUAGCUCUAUAUGAAAAUAGUAGAAUUACCUCUCAUAUUUGAAGCGGGAUAUAAUCUGGCAACAACACGG
RNAcentral lists this unclassified non-coding RNA (533 nucleotides) under Hevea brasiliensis (rubber tree). The record is from RNAcentral. Lineage: Eukaryota; Viridiplantae; Streptophyta; Magnoliopsida; Malpighiales; Euphorbiaceae.